Molecule: ribosomal RNA, 468 nt
Filed under: uncultured bacterium
Lineage: Bacteria
Description: partial 16S ribosomal RNA
Rfam family: Bacterial small subunit ribosomal RNA
Source: RNAcentral
GACGAACGCUGGCGGCGUGCUUAACACAUGCAAGUCGAACGGAAAGGCCCUGCUUUUGUGGGGUGCUCGAGUGGCGAACGGGUGAGUAACACGUGAGUAACCUGCCCUUGACUUUGGGAUAACUUCAGGAAACUGGGGCUAAUACCGGAUAGGAGCUCCUGCUGCAUGGUGGGGGUUGGAAAGUUUCGGCGGUUGGGGAUGGACUCGCGGCUUAUCAGCUUGUUGGUGGGGUAGUGGCUUACCAAGGCUUUGACGGGUAGCCGGCCUGAGAGGGUGACCGGCCACAUUAGGACUGAGAUACGGCCCAGACUCCUACGGGAGGCAGCAGUGGAGAAUAUUGCACAAUGGGCGGAAGCCUGAUGCAGCAACGCCGCGUGCGGGAAGACGGCCUUCGGGUUGUAAACCGCUUUCGCCUGUGACGAAGCGUGAGUGACGGUAAUGGGUAAAGAAGCACCGGCUAACUACGUG